AAAUUUUAUGGACAUAAGAUCGUUCUCGUGAUGUGCAAAUAGUAUAAUAGCCUAAUCCGUUAGUUAUAAUAAUUCGUCGAGUUCAAACUAUCAGCCCAAAAUAUUUAAGUUCAGUUAUCAUUACUAACACAUGAGAUUUCAUAUAAUCCAAUCAAAAUUAUUUCUGUUUAGACCCUGACGUCCUCGCCGAGUCUAAAUUCAGGUCAGAAUUACCUACAUAAGUGAUCUCUACGGAUUCAAGAGGUGGCUCUCAUCAAAUUCGUUGGUAUAGUAUUUUACCCUGCAUAAAGCUUAGUUCUCACACUUCUAGCUGGUAUUCAGCUCUGAUACUAAUUGUAAUGAUCCGACCCAUUAAUAAUAAUAACUUAUUAGAUACAAACCACCGAUCAAAAAUAUUUAAAUCUAGUUAUCAUUAUUAUCGUAUGAGACCUCAUAUAAUCCAAUUAGAAUUAUUUUAUGCGAAAUUAUUGAAGCGUUAUAGAUAACGAGAUGCAAUAUUUAGCAUCUU
RNAcentral lists this long non-coding RNA (508 nucleotides) under Ananas comosus (pineapple). Its description in RNAcentral is "long non-coding RNA (ACOM_LNC002653)". The record is from RNAcentral. Lineage: Eukaryota; Viridiplantae; Streptophyta; Magnoliopsida; Poales; Bromeliaceae.